UACGGAGGGUGCAAGCGUUAGUCGGAAUUACUGGGCGUAAAGGGUGCGUAGGCGGGAAUAUAAGUCAGAUGUGAAAAACCAAGGCUCAACCUUGGCAGUGCAUCUGAAACUGUAUUUCUUGAGGAAUAGCGGAGAAAACGGAAUUCCACGUGUAGCGGUGAAAUGCGUAGAUAUGUGGAAGAACACCUGUGGCGAAAGCGGUUUUCUAGCUUAAACCUGACGCUGAGGCACGAAAGCAAGGGGAGCAAACAGG
RNAcentral lists this ribosomal RNA (253 nucleotides) under uncultured bacterium. RNAcentral describes it as "partial 16S ribosomal RNA". It matches the Rfam family "Bacterial small subunit ribosomal RNA", at positions 524 to 776 of the family's 1533-position model. The record is from RNAcentral.